GACUUAGGGUUCCUAUGACCAUACGACGGUGGGAUCGUAAAACCAACAGUGGAUUCAAAAGUCUAUUCGGUAAUAUUUACUUGGCCUUUUGAUUGCUUAUCAGAAGUCGAUAUAAUCAAAUUUUGGAAAUAUGGCAUUAAUGAAAACAAGAUCACAAGUGUUUCUGGGCUUUUUUUUUUUUU
Molecule: long non-coding RNA, 182 nt
Organism: Brassica rapa (field mustard)
Lineage: Eukaryota; Viridiplantae; Streptophyta; Magnoliopsida; Brassicales; Brassicaceae
Source: RefSeq, a predicted model, not a curated record